UGGGGCUACACACGUCAUACGAAUGGCCGGUACAGAGGGUAGCCAACCGCGAGGGGAGCCAAUACCCGCAAAGCCGGUCGUAGUCCGGAUCGCAGUCUGCAACUCGACUGCGUGAAGUCGGAAUCGCUAGUAAUCGCGGAUCAGCAUGUCGCGGUGAAUACGUUCCCGGGUCUU
RNAcentral lists this ribosomal RNA (174 nucleotides) under uncultured Allobrachymonas sp. RNAcentral's name for it is "uncultured Brachymonas sp. partial 16S ribosomal RNA". It matches the Rfam family "Bacterial small subunit ribosomal RNA", at positions 1209 to 1382 of the family's 1533-position model. Lineage: Bacteria; Pseudomonadati; Pseudomonadota; Betaproteobacteria; Burkholderiales; Comamonadaceae. The record is from RNAcentral.